RNAcentral lists this ribosomal RNA (377 nucleotides) under uncultured eukaryote. RNAcentral describes it as "partial 18S ribosomal RNA". It matches the Rfam family "Eukaryotic small subunit ribosomal RNA", at positions 592 to 976 of the family's 1831-position model. The record is from RNAcentral.
CAAUAGCGUAUAUUUAAGUUGCUGCAGUUAAAAAGCUCGUAGUUGGAUUUCGGGUGGGAAUGGCCGGUCCGCCGUUUCGGUGUGCACUUGCUACGCCCACCUUGCUGCCGGGGACGUGCUCUUGAGUUCACGCUCGGGACACGGAGUCGGCGAGGUUACUUUGAGUAAAUUAGAGUGUUCAAAGCAGGCCUACGCUCUGAAUACAUUAGCAUGGAAUAACACGAUAGGACUCUGGCCUAUCUUGUUGGUCUGUAGGACCGGAGUAAUGAUUAAGAGGGACAGUCGGGGGCAUUCGUAUUUCAUUGUCAGAGGUGAAAUUCUUGGAUUUACGAAAGACGAACUACUGCGAAAGCAUUUGCCAAGAAUGUUUUCAUUAA